UACGGAGGAUCCAAGCGUUAUCCGGAUUUAUUGGGUUUAAAGGGUGCGUAGGCGGAUUGAUAAGUUAGAGGUGAAAUGUCCGAGCUCAACUCGGGAACUGCCUCUAAUACUGCUGAUCUAGAGAGUAGAUGCGGUAGGCGGAAUGUAUGGUGUAGCGGUGAAAUGCUUAGAGAUCAUACAGAACACCGAUUGCGAAGGCAGCUUACCAAUCUAUAUCUGACGUUGAGGCACGAAAGCGUGGGGAGCAAACAGG
This 253-nucleotide ribosomal RNA is filed under the name uncultured bacterium. RNAcentral describes it as "partial 16S ribosomal RNA". It matches the Rfam family "Bacterial small subunit ribosomal RNA", at positions 524 to 776 of the family's 1533-position model. The record is from RNAcentral.